This 244-nucleotide non-coding RNA is filed under the name Beta vulgaris subsp. vulgaris (sugar beet). The record is from RNAcentral. Lineage: Eukaryota; Viridiplantae; Streptophyta; Magnoliopsida; Caryophyllales; Amaranthaceae. RNAcentral also lists the same sequence under 1 other name.
CAUCUUUGCAGCGACUUUGGUCCCCUUACCGGGGGAUUAAAAGGGAAGUCCGGUGUAAAUCCGGCGCUAUCCCCGUAGCUGUAAGUUCCGGGAGGAAGCAUUUCCUCCGCUUGUUGGAUCUUCAUACCACUGGAUUUCGCUCUCAAAUAACGCGGCCGCGUGAAGAUGUAUCUUUUGAGAAGCCCUCCGGGAAGGUGUUCAACAUGGAACGAGCCAGAAGACCUGCCAGGGUCCGUUGUUAUCA